Molecule: transfer RNA, 75 nt
Filed under: Nitrospira sp.
Lineage: Bacteria; Pseudomonadati; Nitrospirota; Nitrospiria; Nitrospirales; Nitrospiraceae
Also listed under: 47 other names
Description: tRNA-Gly
Rfam family: tRNA
About the family: Transfer RNA (tRNA) molecules are approximately 80 nucleotides in length. Their secondary structure includes four short double-helical elements and three loops (D, anti-codon, and T loops).
Source: RNAcentral
GCGGGAGUAGCUCAGUGGUAGAGCGUCAGCCUUCCAAGCUGAGGGUCGCGGGUUCGAAUCCCGUUUCCCGCUCCA